CCGCCGGUAGCACAGUUGGAUAAUGCACCGGAUUCCGAUUCCGGGGAGCGGGGGUUCAAGUCCCUUCCGGCGGGCCA
This 77-nucleotide transfer RNA is filed under the name Clostridia bacterium. RNAcentral's name for it is "tRNA-Arg". It matches the Rfam family "tRNA". Rfam says of the family: Transfer RNA (tRNA) molecules are approximately 80 nucleotides in length. Their secondary structure includes four short double-helical elements and three loops (D, anti-codon, and T loops). Lineage: Bacteria; Bacillati; Bacillota; Clostridia. The record is from RNAcentral.